Molecule: ribosomal RNA, 519 nt
Filed under: Savoiea robusta
Lineage: Eukaryota; Rhodophyta; Florideophyceae; Ceramiales; Rhodomelaceae
Description: partial 28S ribosomal RNA
Rfam family: Eukaryotic large subunit ribosomal RNA
Source: RNAcentral
AUGUUUAGAGCGUAUUGCAGCAGAGUGAAGGGUGCGUUUUGUUCAGCUUGCGCUUGCGUAGGUGUACUCAGAACGUUAUCCGCCAGUCGUGAGCUUCCGGUGGCUAAUUUCAGCUGCUGGGGGUGGAGGGCUCCCUUCGGGUGAGGACGAAUCUGGAUAAUGCUGUGAUGCGACCCGUCUUGAAACACGGACCAAGAAGUCUAGCGUACAUGCGAGUCAAAGGGUGUGAAAACCUGAGGGCGCAGUGAAAGCGAUUUAAAACGUUGCAGUUUGAGGCGGCAUACGAUCGUUGAUUGUAGGUCUGACCUAGAGCAUGUAUGCUAGGACCCGAAAGAUGGUGAACUAUGCUUGAGUAGGGUGAAGCCAGGAGAAAUCCUGGUGGAAGCUCGUAGCGGUGCUGACGUGCAAAUCGCUCGUCUAACUUGAGUAUAGGGGCGAAAGACUAAUCGAACCAUCUGGUAGCUGGUUUCCUCCGAAGUUUCUCUCAGGAUAGCGGACCGAUAUGAUGUUGUUGUGUGC